Molecule: ribosomal RNA, 4857 nt
Filed under: Triticum aestivum (bread wheat)
Lineage: Eukaryota; Viridiplantae; Streptophyta; Magnoliopsida; Poales; Poaceae
Description: partial small subunit ribosomal RNA
Source: RNAcentral
AUGUCGGGGUUGCUUGGCACGGUUGUUGAUGCAGCAAUUGGAUGGCUGGUGCAAAGCAUCCUUGACAGCUUCUUUACUGGACGUAUGGAAGCCUGGACUCGUAAAAUCGGGCUUGCUGAAGAUGUGGAGAAGCUCAAAUUUCAGAUGAGGGACGUGCAGAUGGUUCUUGCUGCUGCCGAGGGAAGGAGGAUUGACAAUAUGCCUCUGGCCCUGUCACUGGAUGAUCUCAGAGGGCUGCUUUAUGACUCAGAGGAUGUGAUGGAUGAGCUCGACUACUACCGACUCCAGCAACAGAUCACUGAAGGGAAAGUUUGUAGUGCUCCCAGUGGUGCUAAUCCUGAGGGAAGCUAUGUGUUCUUAUCCACUCUAUCUUCUGUUGUUAAAUUAGUAUGCAGCGCCCCAAGCCAUAUAACUGGUUGGAUCUUACGCGGCAGAAAAAGGAAACGUGAAGAGGAGGGGCCAGCUCACUGUAACAUGCUGCCUUUUGAGAUUAAAGAUAGCAUUUCUAAGAGGAUCAAUGUAAUAGUGAUUCUUCUAUGCAGUAACCGCAAUUCUGUGCAGGGGGCUCUUCAGCUUGAGAACUUGCGCCCCAUGGCAACAUCAAGUAAGAGUCUCAAUAUUUCCAGGGGUCAUCGCAUGACAACUUCUGUUCCGAUUGAAUCUGAGGUGUACGGAAGAGAUGCAGAGAGAGACAAAAUAAUAGAGCUGCUGAGGAAUGGAAAAUCUAGUGAUCUGAAUGUUUUGCCAUUAGUUGGCGCCAUUGGUGGUGUUGGGAAGACAACACUUGCCAGAUUUGUAUACCGUGAUCAAAGAAUUAUAGAUCAUUUUGAUCUGCGAAUGUGGGUUUGUGUGUCCACUGACUUCAAUGAAGAGAGGCUAACACGUGAGAUCCUAGAGCAUGUAUGUGAAGAUAGACAAGAGUAUGAAAAUAAAAGCAAUCCUGAUGUACUGCAGAACAUCCUUUUGAAGAAGGUCAGAAACAAAAGAUUUCUGCUUGUACUGGACGAUAUAUGGGAAGACAGAGACAGGAGUGGGUGGAUUAAUUUCCUGGCUCCGUUGAAAAGGAAUCAAGCAACCGGUUGCAUGAUUUUAGCAACAACAAGAAGGAAAUCAGUUGCAAAAAUGAUAGGAACAAUGGUUGAGGUCGAAGUGAAUGGUCUCGAUGAUAAUGUGUUCUGGCUUCUCUUCAGAGCAUGUGCAUUUGGUGAUGAGAACUACGAGGGCCGUCCUAGUUUGCAAUCUAUUGGGAAAGAGAUUGCUAAAGCACUAAAAGGCUGUCCACUGGCUGCACGAAGUGUUGGUGCACUUCUAAACGCAGAUGUUAGCUAUCAGCAUUGGAUGACAGUUCGGGACAAAUGGAAAUCUCUUGAAGAUGCUGAUGAUAUUUUACCCAUCUUGAAGCUCAGUUAUGAUUAUCUUCCAGUCCACCUUCAGCGCUGUUUCUCUUACUGCUCUUUGUUCCCAGAGGACUACCCAUUUGAUGGGGAAGAUUUGGUCCAUGCUUGGAUAUCACAAAAUUUUGUGCAGUACGAAGGCCGUACCAUAAGAUUGGAGAAAACAGGGCAGAGCUAUUUGGAAAGAUUAGUGGACUUGGGCUUCUUCCACAAGGAUGGCUCACACUAUGUUAUGCAUGACCUAAUGCAUGUAUUGGCCAGGAAAGUUUCAUCAAGUGAGUGUGCUACUAUAGAUGGAUUGAAACCUCAGGCCAUUCAACCAAGCGUUCGCCAUUUGUCAGUCAUAAUUACUGAUUUUGGUAAAGAUGAACAAGGCAGUUUUCCUAGUGAGAAGUUUGACCAAAUACUACAGGAAGUUAGGUCGUCUUUGCAAAAAUUGAGAACCUUGAUGGUGUUUGGGCGAAGGACCAUACAUUUGUUAGGUUCAUUACAUACUUUAUGCAAGGAGGCAAAAUGUUUACGGUUACUAAGAAUUCGUGUGCCAGGUGGCGACAUCAAUUAUAUAAACAGUUUAUUGAAUCCAUGCCAUCUUCGCUAUAUAAUGGCAUAUGGAGUCUACCAAAAACCUGCGUUUUGUCAAGUUCUGACAAGGUGCUAUCACCUUCAAGUAUUGAAUGUGGGCAUUUUUACAGGCGAUCGUGAUGUACCUACUGAUAUGAAUAAUCUUGUUAAUCUGCGCCAUCUUAUUGCUCAUGAGAAAGUGCACCACGCAAUAGUUCGUGUCAGCAAAAUGACCUCUCUUCAGGAAUUAAAAUUCAAGGUUCAAAAUGUUGGUAGUUUUGGGAUAGGACAACUUCAGUCCAUGAAUGAGCUUGUAUUACUUGGAAUUUCUCAACUUGAAAAUGUGAAGACUAAAAAAGAGGUGAGGGGGGCCAAGCUGAUAGACAAAGAGUAUCUAGAAACAUUGUCCUUGUCAUGGGAGGAUAGCAGCAUGAGCUUCCAACCUGAGGCUGCCAAGGAUGUGCUUGAAGGUCUUCAACCACAUCAGAACCUCAAAACUCUAGAAAUAACUGGAUAUGGUGGUGCUACAUCCCCAACCUGGUUCUCCAUUGUUUCCUCAGUUACCUCCUUGCAGGUACUUCAUCUAGAGGGGUGCAGGGAAUGGCAAAUUCUAUCAAUUCGUGAAAUGCAUUCCCUUAGGAAGCUGACAUUGAUCAGGAUGUUGAAUUUAAUGGAAAUCUCAGUUCCUUCCUUGGAAGAGUUGAUCUUGAUCGGCAUGCCAAAAUUGAAAAAAUGUACCGGUUCUUAUGGAAUAGAAUUGACUUACCAUUUAAGGGUUUUGAUGAUCAAGAACUGCCGUGAGCUGAAUGAGCUCACUCUUUUCCAGAGUUACUCUUCUUUCGACGCUGAGCAGAAAUCAUGGUUUCCAUCUCUCAGGAAACUCUCCAUUGGGCAGUGUCCCCAUAUAUUAAACAACUGGCCAAUCCUCCCACUAAGUGAAAUGAGGGCGCUCAGUGAGUUGGAGUUGAUGGACCUACAUGUUGUCGGAGUUUCAGUUCCUUCUCUGGAGAAGUUGGUGUUGACUAAAAUGCCAAACCUGGAAUUUUGCAGCAGUCUAACGACCCAAGGAGAUCAAAUGGGAUGGUCAUCCAAUCUGCGUAGACUUACCAUCCAUGAUUGCCCUUGUUUGAUAGUGUCACAUCCUUUUCCGCCUUCUGCUUCGAUUUCCGAGAUGUCCAUCAGGGGAGUUCCGGGACUUGCAAAAAUGAGUAUAGACCAUAGAUGGUUAACUAUCGAAUCUACUGAGUUGAGUGUGCUAGAUGACAGUAUCCUGGCAUUCAGUAACCUUGGGGGCAUAAGAUUGUUUCGAAUAAGAAGCUGUCCAAAUCUGAUCUCUCUUUCAAGUGAAUCUUUCAGCCAGCUCAUCGCUUUAGAAACUUUAUGUAUACACGACUGCCCUAAUCUUACUAUGUCAAACAUUAUGCCAGAGGUUGUCCAGGAAAACAGCACAUCUACAAGCAGCCUUGUCCCCCCAUCUCUCAAAUCUGUCAACAUUAGCACAUGUGGCGUAACUGGGAGGUGGCUAUCUCAACUGCUUUCACAUUCGCAGUCCCUUGAGGAGUUGCUGUUAACUGGCUGUCCGCAGAUAAAGUUUCUAUCAGUCAUUCAACCUAGAGAAACGGAAGGGACCAGCAGUUUGGCUUCAGCAGUGAUGACCUCGGCCCAAGAUGAACAUGAAUUGAAACUGCCAUAUAAUCUCCUAUGUUCUCUCAAGGUGCUAUGGAUUCAGCAAAGCCUGGAUCUGAAGUUCUUUGGGGGUAAUAGACACUCUACAAGAUUCACCUCUCUUACGCAGCUUUUCCUUCAUGGUUGCCCCAAGCUACUCUCAAUUUUGGUGGGUGAAACAAAAGAUGAUGGUACCAUGGAGGUUGGAUUACUCCCACCAUCACUUGAAGACCUUAGUAUCGGUCCUCUCCCAGAAAACUUGCAGUCAUUCACUCCUGAAGGCCUUUUGUACCUCAAAAAGUUACGUCUAUCUUAUGGCCCAUGUUUGAAGUCUGUACAGCUGCAUUCCUGUACGGCCUUAGAGGAGCUGGAUAUCAUGGGGUGUGUCCAGCUGACUGUACUGGAGGGCUUGCAGUUUCUCAGCUCCCUUCGAAGCUUGAAGAUGGAGAUGAAUUCCGAGCUGUCUUGUGCAUGGGAUCUCAAACUGCAGGAACAAGAGCAGGGUGGGAAUCAAAUUCAGCUAUUUCCUCGGUCACUUGAUAAACUUGAGAUCACGGCUGUCACGGACUGGGUCCAAUCCCGUCUUCUGUCCUGCCUUCCUGCCAUGACCAAAUUAGCAGUACAGAGAAGUCCGGAACUGACGUCUCUACAGUUGGCAUGCUGCACGGCACUGAAAGUGUUGGAAAUUGGAGACUGCGACUUGCUUGCGUCGAUCGAGGGCCUCCAGUUCUGUAGAAACCUGACAUCCUUGAAAGUAUUUAACUCCCCCGGCCUAUCUUCCUGUUUUCAACUUUUGUCCGACCAGCAAGGUGUCUGUGAAGUAUGGUCUGGAUUGAAAACUCUUGUGGCUAGUGACGCAUCUAUCCUGUCCAGGCCGUUCUGCAAACAGCUGACUUCCCUAAGACGUCUACAGUUUGGCUCUGCGUAUAGUGCAAGCUUGGUGAACCUAACAGACGAACAAGAGAGAGCAUUACAGCUUCUAACCUCACUCCAAGAACUUCAAUUCCUGAGAUGCCCGAAUCUCUUAUCACUUCCUGCAAGCCUAUAUAGCCUGACCUCCCUCGGAACAUUAUCUAUCGUACAUUGUAGGAGCAUCACAAGGUUGCCAGACAUGGGCUUUGCACCUUCGCUCAGUAACCUUGAGGUAGCCUAUUGCAGUGAGGAGCUAGGUAUGGAGUGCAGAAUUGCAGCAACUGAAAAGCUAAGAGUCACAAUUGAUUAUGUGGAUGUGAAUUAA